UGGGGAAUAUUGCACAAUGGGCGCAAGCCUGAUGCAGCCAUGCCGCGUGUAUGAAGAAGGCCUUCGGGUUGUAAAGUACUUUCAGCGGGGAGGAAGGUGUUGUGGUUAAUAACCGCAGCAAUUGACGUUACCCGCAGAAGAAGCACCGGCUAACUCCGUGCCAGCAGCCGCGGUAAUACGGAGGGUGCAAGCGUUAAUCGGAAUUACUGGGCGUAAAGCGCACGCAGGCGGUCUGUCAAGUCGGAUGUGAAAUCCCCGGGCUCAACCUGGGAACUGCAUUCGAAACUGGCAUUCUAGAGUCUUGUAUAAGGGGGUAGAAUUCCAUAUAUAACGAUUAAAUUCGUAUAUAUCUUUAGGAAUACCGGUUGCUAAGGCGUCCCCCUGGACAAAAACUGACGCUCAGGUGCGAAAGCGUUUUCAACAAACA
This 427-nucleotide ribosomal RNA is filed under the name uncultured bacterium. RNAcentral describes it as "partial 16S ribosomal RNA". It matches the Rfam family "Bacterial small subunit ribosomal RNA", at positions 355 to 774 of the family's 1533-position model. The record is from RNAcentral.